This 441-nucleotide ribosomal RNA is filed under the name uncultured bacterium. RNAcentral describes it as "bacterial SSU rRNA". It matches the Rfam family "Bacterial small subunit ribosomal RNA", at positions 958 to 1397 of the family's 1533-position model. The record is from RNAcentral.
AACGCGAAGAACCUUACCUGGGCUCGAAAUGCAGGAGACCGGGGUAGAAAUAUCCUUUCCUCGCAAGAGGCUGCUGUAUAGGUGCUGCAUGGCUGUCGUCAGCUCGUGUCGUGAGAUGUUGGGUUAAGUCCCGCAACGAGCGCAACCCUCAUCCCUAGUUGCCACCGGGUAAUGCCGAGCACUCUAGUGAAACCGCCCCGGAUAACGGGGAGGAAGGUGGGGAUGACGUCAAGUCCUCAUGGCCUUUAUGUCCAGGGCUACACACGUGCUACAAUGGUCGGUACAAACCGUCGCAAAGCCGCAAGGUGGAGCUAAUCGGAAAAAGCCGGCCUCAGUUCGGAUUGGAGUCUGCAACUCGACUCCAUGAAGCUGGAAUCGCUAGUAAUCGCAGAUCAGAACGCUGCGGUGAAUACGUUCCCGGGCCUUGUACACACCGCAUAC